Long non-coding RNA from Lycium ferocissimum, 240 nucleotides. RefSeq lists it as uncharacterized. The record is from RefSeq and is a predicted model, not a curated record. The transcript is spliced from 3 exons. Lineage: Eukaryota; Viridiplantae; Streptophyta; Magnoliopsida; Solanales; Solanaceae.
ACUAAUUAUACCGAGAUUCAUGUAUUUCUGCAAUUUUGAUUUGCUGAUAUUCAUAUAUUUUCUGAAACUAUAUGCAAAUCAAGGUUACUCUUUCAAGCAAUUCGGAGCCUAUUAGACUUCAAUUACUUUACUCAUUUCCAGUCUUCUUAGUCAUAUUGGGACGCAACAUUCAAUUUUAAAGAUUGUACGUGCACGCUGUUAUGCCUAUCAAAUAAUGUGGAGGUUUUGAUCCACUACUUG